Molecule: non-coding RNA, 80 nt
Organism: Nicotiana attenuata
Lineage: Eukaryota; Viridiplantae; Streptophyta; Magnoliopsida; Solanales; Solanaceae
Source: Rfam
GACAGUUUGGCCGAGUGGUCUAAGGCGCCAGAUUUAGGCUCUGGUCCGAAAGGGGGUGGGUUCAAUUCAUACAGCUGUCA